This 23-nucleotide non-coding RNA is filed under the name Arabidopsis thaliana (thale cress). Lineage: Eukaryota; Viridiplantae; Streptophyta; Magnoliopsida; Brassicales; Brassicaceae. The record is from RNAcentral.
CCUGACCCGAAUAACCCGUUCUC